GAGCGAAGCCAGAGCCACAAAAGGCAUUUCAGCGCAUCUUCCCACAUUCGCAGCGAAUUCAUUUCGAAAGAACUGAAAGAGAAGCAGCGCUUGGUUCAUGCCAUCCGAGAGGAUGAUGAAGUUCAGGUUGUGGGAGGACACUGUAAGGGUUAGCAAACUGUCAUAGUCCGCGUGUACGGGACAGCUGUCAUCUGCAUCCAGCGGGUGCAGUGGGGAAAGGCUAAUGGCAUAUUUGUCAUGUGAGCGUUCGCCCUAGCAAGGUACGGUGGUCAUGGCUAGGCCAAAGCUGGACAAAGCAAAAGGAAAUCUGAGUGGAAAGCCACAUCUCACCAAACAAGAGAAAAAGGGCAA
Molecule: long non-coding RNA, 351 nt
Filed under: Homo sapiens (human)
Lineage: Eukaryota; Metazoa; Chordata; Mammalia; Primates; Hominidae
Description: non-protein coding lnc-RPL3L-3:1
Source: RNAcentral